Molecule: long non-coding RNA, 100 nt
Organism: Condylura cristata (star-nosed mole)
Lineage: Eukaryota; Metazoa; Chordata; Mammalia; Eulipotyphla; Talpidae
Exons: 3
Source: RefSeq, a predicted model, not a curated record
CUCCUCCGGGUUUUCCAGAAGGAGUUUGACCAGACCAGUCAUGACGUCCUACAGCGACAAAGGCGUCAAGCCCGAGCGAGGCCGGUUCCUGCACUUCCAC